GAACGUUCUGGGGGAGGGAUUUUUGAGAGUCAGCUUGCAGACGCUCUUAAGUCGCCUAAAAGCGCAAGCUAAACAUGUAGCGCCCUGAAGUGGAUCACUUGCGGACGGGGGUUCAAUUCCCCCCGCCUCCACCA
This 134-nucleotide transfer-messenger RNA is filed under the name Methylococcaceae bacterium. Its description in RNAcentral is "partial transfer-messenger RNA". It matches the Rfam family "transfer-messenger RNA", at positions 235 to 374 of the family's 374-position model. From Rfam's summary of the family: Bacterial tmRNA, also known as 10Sa RNA or SsrA, is named for its dual tRNA and mRNA-like properties. Lineage: Bacteria; Pseudomonadati; Pseudomonadota; Gammaproteobacteria; Methylococcales; Methylococcaceae. The record is from RNAcentral.